Molecule: ribosomal RNA, 230 nt
Filed under: uncultured microorganism
Description: partial 16S ribosomal RNA
Rfam family: Bacterial small subunit ribosomal RNA
Source: RNAcentral
UACGGAGGAUCCAAGCGUUAUCCGGAUUCAUUGGGUUUAAAGGGUGCGUAGGCGGAAUAGUAAGUCAGUGGUGAAAGCCUGCAGCUUAACUGUAGAAUUGCCAUUGAUACUGCUAAUCUUGAGUUUAGAUGAAGUGGGCGGAAUGUGUCAUGUAGCGGUGAAAUGCUUAGAUAUGACACAGAACACCGAUUGCGAAGGCAGCUCACUAAACUAAAACUGACGCUGAGGCA